This 491-nucleotide long non-coding RNA is filed under the name Medicago truncatula (barrel medic). Its description in RNAcentral is "lncRNA gene23153". The record is from RNAcentral. Lineage: Eukaryota; Viridiplantae; Streptophyta; Magnoliopsida; Fabales; Fabaceae.
AUUUGAGCCAAUAUUUUCCUUUUCACAAUAUUCCACAAUUGUGUUUUAUCUAUUAUUAUUCUUGAACCCCAUCCAAGCGAGUAAACAUCCAGACGAUGAAUUUGUUGUUUAAAAAAAAAACAAGUAUUAGUGAAAUGGUAAUGAUGUUGUACGUCAUUGGAAAUUAGGGUUCUUGAUACUAAAUCAGCUACCUUGUCAUCAAUGUUGCACAUAGAAGAAAGUGUAUGCUCAUCCUUCCAUAUGUUCCAUUUUUUCUAAAACUCCCCCUCCUUUAUUUUUUGAAAGUUUUGAAACAUGAUAUUGAUUAUUAUUAUAGUUUUUUUUUUUUUUGGACAAAAUUAUUAUAGUUGUUAACAAGUAAAAUUUAAAUUAAAUAUGUAAGUGUAACAUACCUUUUUUUUUUUUAAUCAAAGUAUGCAUUAAGAUGCUUUCUUUUCAACAGCUUGCAGAGCUGUAAGUUAUCACUUUGUUCUAAUUUUCUUGUAUAUGAA